GUAUUUUAUAAACAAACAAAUUACUAUGUUAUAUUCGUGUGGUGUACUGAUACCUAUUAUACGGUUUUUAUUAUUAUUAUUAUAGGUGUAUACUGUAUAUGAUAUUAUAACCUCUAGGCUAUAACCAAUAGCGAGUAGGAACAUAAUUUAUUAAAAUUUAACUUUACGUAUUCAUCAGAUGCUACAGCGUUAUAAUAUGUUCCUCUCGGUCGCCACUAACAAAAAUCUAUUCGGGUUUACGG
Cinara cedri is the source of this 242-nucleotide non-coding RNA. The record is from the annotation of a GenBank genome assembly. NCBI's taxonomy places the organism in Eukaryota, Metazoa, Arthropoda, Insecta, Hemiptera, Aphididae.